AGUGAACGCUGGCGGUAGACCUAACACAUGCAAGUCGAACGGCAGCACAGUAAGAGCUUGCUCUUACGGGUGGCGAGUGGCGGACGGGUGAGGAAUACAUCGGAAUCUACUUUUUCGUGGGGGAUAACGUAGGGAAACUUACGCUAAUACCGCAUACGACCUACGGGUGAAAGCAGGGGAUCUUCGGACCUUGCGCGAUUGAAUGAGCCGAUGUCGGAUUAGCUAGUUGGCGGGGUAAAGGCCCACCAAGGCGACGAUCCGUAGCUGGUCUGAGAGGAUGAUCAGCCACACUGGAACUGAGACACGGUCCAGACUCCUACGGGAGGCAGCAGUGGGGAAUAUUGGACAAUGGGCGCAAGCCUGAUCCAGCCAUACCGCGUGGGUGAAGAAGGCCUUCGGGUUGUAAAGCCCUUUUGUUGGGAAAGAAAAGCAGCAGGUUAAUACCCCGCUGUUCUGACGGAACCCAAAGAAUAAGCACCGGCUAACUUCGUG
This 492-nucleotide ribosomal RNA is filed under the name uncultured bacterium. RNAcentral's name for it is "partial 16S ribosomal RNA". It matches the Rfam family "Bacterial small subunit ribosomal RNA", at positions 29 to 507 of the family's 1533-position model. The record is from RNAcentral.